Molecule: ribosomal RNA, 301 nt
Filed under: uncultured bacterium
Lineage: Bacteria
Description: partial 16S ribosomal RNA
Rfam family: Bacterial small subunit ribosomal RNA
Source: RNAcentral
CAGUAGCCGCGGUAAUACAGAGGGUGCAAGCGUUAAUCGGAAUUACUGGGCGUAAAGCGCGCGUAGGUGGUUUGUUAAGUUGGAUGUGAAAUCCCCGGGCUCAACCUGGGAACUGCAUCCAAAACUGGCAAGCUAGAGUAUGGUAGAGGGUGGUGGAAUUUCCUGUGUAGCGGUGAAAUGCGUAGAUAUAGGAAGGAACACCAGUGGCGAAGGCGACCACCUGGACUGAUACUGACACUGAGGUGCGAAAGCGUGGGGAGCAAACAGGAUUAGAUACCCGUGUAGUCCCUGUCUCUUAUAU